Molecule: ribosomal RNA, 600 nt
Filed under: uncultured archaeon
Lineage: Archaea
Description: bacterial SSU rRNA
Rfam family: Archaeal small subunit ribosomal RNA
Source: RNAcentral
GCACCACCGGCGGACGGCUCAUAACACGUCGGUAACCUACCCUCGGGAGGGGGAUAACCCCGGGAAACUGGGGCUAAUUCCCCAUAGGCCUGAGGUACUGGAAGGUCCUCAGGCCGAAAGGGACUUAUGUCCGCCCGAGGAUGGGCCGGCGGCCGAUUAGGUAGUUGGUGGGGUAAUGGCCCACCAAGCCGAAGAUCGGUACGGGCUGUGAGAGCAGGAGCCCGGAGAUGGACACUGAGACACGGGUCCAGGCCCUACGGGGCGCAGCAGGCGCGAAACCUCCGCAAUGCGGGAAACCGCGACGGGGGGACCCCGAGUGCCGUGGCAACGCCACGGCUUUUCCGGAGUGUAAAAAGCUCCGGGAAUAAGGGCUGGGCAAGGCCGGUGGCAGCCGCCGCGGUAAUACCGGCGGCCCGAGUGGUGGCCGCUAUUAUUGGGCCUAAAGCGUCCGUAGCCGGGCCCGUAAGUCCCUGGCGAAAUCCCACGGCUCAACCGUGGGGCUUGCUGGGGAUACUGCGGGUCUUGGGACCGGGAGAGGCGGGGGGUACCCCUGGGGUAGGGGUGAAAUCCUAUAAUCCCAGGGGGACCGCCAGUGGCGAA